UAUAUACCAAUGGUGCAUUAUUCUAGUCAUACAACUUUACGAGGGUGGGGCUAAAAAUCCACUAAAGAGCACAUCGUUGAAGUUUCUUAGUAUUGCGCGAAAUGCCAGUUUUGUGUGGUACUAGGGAGUAAAGAGAUUAGGGUAUUAUAUAAUGGCAUAUAUGAAACUCCCUGAUUUCGUGGAGGCUUAAAUAAAGCAAGUAAAUAUAAAUGUAGGAAUACAAAAUCUAUAUUAUAUAUUUAUGAAGCGAUAUUUAAGUAUAACCUAUGUUGAGUGCCAAGACACAAAAUACAUAGCGUAGCUUGUCUUGAGUGAAUGUAUUGGGAUUAAUACAAAAAGAAUAAAUUUAUUUGGCCAAAUAAAUUUAUUUUAUAUUAUGAAAUUAUAUUUGCAAAAAAGACUAGUAAAGAGUAUUGUAUGUUAAGGAAAACUUCUAGAAUGUUUGCUUACAGGAAGCAAGAAAGUUUAAGGAUUAAGGUACAGAUUUAAGUGGCGAUCUGGUGUCUAUUGUAAUAUAUAGAUGUUCUUCUUAAACGGAAACGGUUCUAACAGUAAUGUUAAGCGAAGAAUAGAGAAAUUCAACCAGACCUAAACUGUAAAAUUUACUUAGGCUUUUACCAUUAAAAACAAU
This 631-nucleotide small RNA is filed under the name human gut metagenome. The record is from RNAcentral.